This 654-nucleotide long non-coding RNA is filed under the name Anthonomus grandis grandis. Its description in RNAcentral is "uncharacterized LOC126737188". Lineage: Eukaryota; Metazoa; Arthropoda; Insecta; Coleoptera; Curculionidae. The record is from RNAcentral.
UAAACAAAAAACUGAAUGCACUGGUCAAUUUUGAGCAUUUGUACUUAAAUGUCUCUAAAUUUACCAGAUAGUAUAAUACAAGUUUUUAGAAAGUUUUUAUUUGUAGAUACUACAAUUGAUACAAAUGUAUUGCCUGGCACGCAUAUUCAAGUUGAUAUUUUGCAGCAUAGUUCAAAAAAUGAUAAACAAUUAAAAACUUAUUCUCGUAAGAGGCUUCACGAAGAUGAGAUUGUCGGUGACCAACAUGAAAAAGUUAAACUUGUACGUCACAGUCCCAGUCCUCAAAGCACACAGACAGUUCUAAAGUUCACUGUAGAUUAUCCAGAUACUCCAUCUUCCACAAAAUCUAAUAUUAAAAAAAAAUCAAGAGUUUUAAGUGUUCAGUUAACUUUAAACGUUAACUAACAUUAAAAAAAAAAAGUUUAAAGCUCAAAAAAAUAAGUAUUUACGCCUUAAAAAGAAAGCAAAUCUAGCGUCUAAAAACUUUUUGGCAAAUUUACUUAAAGGAAAAAGUACAGCUGUAAAAACACUAAUUAACAUGCAGUUAUCUCCAACGAGGAAAAAAGUUUGGACGACCAAUGAGCGACAUUUGGCACUUUCUCUUUAUUAUAAGUCUUAUUCUUAUUUAUCUUAUUAAAAGCUUAUUGAAUUUUU